UGGGGAAUAUUGCACAAUGGGCGCAAGCCUGAUGCAGCAACGCCGCGUGCGGGACGAAGGCCUUCGGGUCGUAAACCGCUUUUCUGGGGGAAGAGCAAGGACGGUACCUCAGGAAUAAGUCUCGGCUAACUACGUGCCAGCAGCCGCGGUAAAACGUAGGCGGCGAGCGUUAUCCGGAUUUACUGGGCGUAAAGCGCACGCAGGCGGCUCUGUUAGUCGGACGUGAAAGCUCUCGGCUUAACCGGGAGAGGCCGUUCGAUACUGCGGGGCUUGAGGUAGGGAGAGGAAUGCGGAAUUCCCGGUGUAGUGGUGGAAUGCGUAGAUAUCGGGAGGCACACCUGUGGCGAAAGCGGCAUUCUGGCCCUCACCUGACGCUGAGGUGCGAAAGCGUGGGUAGCAAACA
RNAcentral lists this ribosomal RNA (403 nucleotides) under uncultured bacterium. Its description in RNAcentral is "bacterial SSU rRNA". It matches the Rfam family "Bacterial small subunit ribosomal RNA", at positions 355 to 774 of the family's 1533-position model. The record is from RNAcentral.